Molecule: ribosomal RNA, 439 nt
Filed under: uncultured Fibrobacter sp.
Lineage: Bacteria; Pseudomonadati; Fibrobacterota; Fibrobacteria; Fibrobacterales; Fibrobacteraceae
Description: bacterial SSU rRNA
Rfam family: Bacterial small subunit ribosomal RNA
Source: RNAcentral
UAGGGAAUAUUGCACAAUGGGGGGAACCCUGAUGCAGCAACGCCACGUGUGGGAAGAAGCAUUUCGGUGUGUAAACCACUGUCGUGAGGGAAUAAGGCUAUUUUUCGGAGUAGUUGAAUGUACCUCGAGAGGAAGCACCGGCAAACUUCGUGCCAGCAGCCGCGGUAAUACGAGGGGUGCAAGCGUUGUUCGGAAUCACUGGGCGUAAAGGGAGCGCAGGCGGAAGCUCAAGCGGAUUGUACAAUACCGGGGCCCAACCCCGGACCUGCAGUCCGAACUGGGUUUCUUGGAUAGUUCAGGGGCAAGCGGAAUUCCUGGUGUAGCGGUGGAAUGCGUAGAGAUCAGGAAGAACACCGAUGGCGAAGGCAGCUUGCUGGGGACUUAUCGACGCUCAUGCUCGAAAGUGCGGGUAGCAAACAGGAUUAGAUACCCUGGUAGU